Molecule: transfer RNA, 88 nt
Filed under: Halomonas lysinitropha
Lineage: Bacteria; Pseudomonadati; Pseudomonadota; Gammaproteobacteria; Oceanospirillales; Halomonadaceae
Description: Halomonas sp. 3(2) tRNA-Leu
Source: RNAcentral
GCUGGCUUAGGCGAGGCCUGUGGGCUUGAGGGGCUCAUAGCCGCCUCACGGCGGCACCAUCGCUUCGCGUUGGGUCGCGCUGCAAGCA